RNAcentral lists this ribosomal RNA (669 nucleotides) under Triticum aestivum (bread wheat). Its description in RNAcentral is "partial small subunit ribosomal RNA". Lineage: Eukaryota; Viridiplantae; Streptophyta; Magnoliopsida; Poales; Poaceae. The record is from RNAcentral.
CGCGCCUCCGCCGCCGCCGCUUCCCCUCCUUCACGGAUCACCAGCCGCCGCUUCUUGGCGUCACAGUCCCCGGUGGCCCCCUCCGAGAUCUGCCCGGACGAGAACCUGAAGCGGCUCAUCGGCAACGAGAUCGACCGCGUCUUCCUGCCGGCGGAGGCCUCCUCGAAGCUCAUUGAACUACCAGAAGACUUCCCCUUUGAGAUAAUUGAUAACCCUGGUGAUCAAGCCAUAGUUCUCAAAAGAGAGCUUGCAGGAGAGAGAGUCAAAGCAAUUAUCUACACAAAUUUUGAUACUGAUGAAGAUGUGAACAAUGAUGACUCUCAUGCUGAGAAUCAUAUUGACUCAUUUAAGCCUGUGAUUCAGAUGGUUGUCACUUUUGAAAGACCAGAAGGUCUAGUCCUGGAAUUUGUGUGCAACUUUAAAGAUAAGGAACUGGCAAUUGAAAAUAUGAGGAUGCUGAAUCGCAGCAGCGUGGAUGCUAAGUAUGCGUACGAGGGGCCACAGUUCUCUGUUCUGAAGGAGAGCAUCCGGAAGUCCCUGCAUGGGUAUCUUGAGGUGAGGGGGAUCAAGGACUCACUGCAUGACUGGCUGCACGAGUACAUGAUGUGCAAGGAUGAGAGGGAGUACGUGGUUUGGUUGAAGAAGAUGAGAGACUUCCUCCAGAAAUGA